CAUGAAUCUCCAAGAACCUUCUGACUGUGCCUACAAGGGAAAAAAUUAAGUGUAGUUAGCAAAAGCAUUACUCUUCCUCCUGCUUUACUACCAGGUUACUCAGAAGAGGCAAGCUGAAUCAAUCAAUAGAAAUUUUACAAAAAACAAGGAUGUUCAUCCUACUGCAGUACACACUAUCCAGGGCACCUUGCUGCUGCUUGUCCUCAGACCACUGAACACCUAGAGUGACACUGCAGCUAGUCUGAACCCACAAUUUGAUUAUGUUCAUUCUGCUGCUCAAAGAUCAGACAAGCAGAAGAUAAACAAAGUGAAGAUGCAUGAGAGAAGACAGAAUAGCAGAACUCUGACCUACUCUUUUUCACAGCAGCAGCUGUUAGAGACCUUGGGAGCAAAGCGCAUGGGAACACAAAGAAAGAUUACCUUGCCCAGGGAGAGGUUUAAAUGAUGUUCACAUUGCAGACAUAUACUAUAUUCAAGCCCAAGUCAUAGGAGAUGUCUAACUUUUUCUUUCUUUCUUUCCUUACUUCAUCAGGUUCAGGAGAUCCCUGAACAGUCCUAAUUUACUGCAUGUAUGAACCGGGAAAGAGGGCCGCUCCUUCUCUUUUCAUAUUGAUCGUCAGUGUUACUCUCCCAGAGAGGUUUUGGUGAGCAUCCAGCUGCUUUGCUUCAUAGACAUCAGUCCAGCCUGGCAAACUGUCAACAUCCACAAAUUGGGAAGGAGCACCCAAGGGAUCCAUGGAAUGGAAAGAACAACUCCUUUUUUU
This is a long non-coding RNA of Dromaius novaehollandiae (emu), 764 nucleotides long. RefSeq lists it as uncharacterized. Lineage: Eukaryota; Metazoa; Chordata; Aves; Casuariiformes; Dromaiidae. The record is from RefSeq and is a predicted model, not a curated record. The transcript is spliced from 4 exons.